This 500-nucleotide ribosomal RNA is filed under the name uncultured bacterium. Its description in RNAcentral is "partial 16S ribosomal RNA". It matches the Rfam family "Bacterial small subunit ribosomal RNA", at positions 28 to 507 of the family's 1533-position model. The record is from RNAcentral.
GAUGAACGCUGGCGGCGUGCCUAAUACAUGCAAGUCGAACGCGCCGAGAAGGGAACUUGUUCCUUUCAACGCGAGUGGCGGACGGGUGAGUCACACGUGGGAAACCUACCCUUCAGCGGGGGAUAACCAUCGGAAACGAUGACUAAUACCGCAUAGUUGUUCCAGUCGCAUGACUGGAAUGGGAAAGACGGCUUCGGCUGUCACUGGAGGAUGGUCCCGCGGUGCAUUAGCUAGACGGUGGGGUAACGGCCUACCGUGGCUUUGAUGCAUAGCCGACCUGAGAGGGUGAUCGGCCACAUUGGGAAUGAGACACGGCCCAAACUCCUACGGGAGGCAGCAGUAGGGAAUCUUCGGCAAUGGACGCAAGUCUGACGGCGCAACGCCGCGUGUGUGAAGAAGGUCUUCGGAUCGUAAAGCACUGUUAUCAGAGAAGAAUAGCCUAGAGAGUAACUGUUAUAGGUUUGACGGUAACUGAUCAGAAAGCCACGGCUAACUACGUG